Molecule: non-coding RNA, 72 nt
Organism: Desmophyllum pertusum
Lineage: Eukaryota; Metazoa; Cnidaria; Anthozoa; Scleractinia; Caryophylliidae
Source: the annotation of a GenBank genome assembly
UCUCCUGUAGCUCAGUGGUAGAACGUCUGACCGGAGUGCGGAAGCUCAUAGGUUCUACUCCUAUUGGGAGAA